AUGGCCAUAUGACAUUCAAACACCAGUUCUCGUCUGUUCACAGAAGUUAAGCAACGUUGAAACUGGUCAUUACUUAGAUGGAUGACCGCUUGGGAAUAUCAGCUGCUGUAAG
Molecule: non-coding RNA, 112 nt
Organism: Acanthosepion pharaonis
Lineage: Eukaryota; Metazoa; Mollusca; Cephalopoda; Sepiida; Sepiidae
Source: the annotation of a GenBank genome assembly